ACCAGCCCUGCCCACACAGGCUCCACCUAUUGAGUGAUGCAAACAAGAUAGAGGCUCAUAGAUCUAGUCAUGGAUAGAUUUGCAAUAAUAAAGAGAAAUGUCAUCUGAUACGUCACAUUAAUUAGAGCUGCUUGUGUCAACUUAUAUUGUUGCUGCCUGUCAGUACUCAGUACUGGAAUUAGCAUGAAGUGAGUCUAACUAGAAACAAUACAAAUCAGGCAAAAUUGUUUUAUUAAAGUUAAUCUAAGCUGCAUAUAAUGUACCCAAAAGUUGAUGCAACUAACAAAAUUUUUAGGUGUAAUUAUUAUUUUUAUAAAGUAUUAGAUAUUACACUUUCAAUCUUAAUUCUUGACAACAAA
Amphimedon queenslandica is the source of this 359-nucleotide long non-coding RNA. RefSeq lists it as uncharacterized. NCBI's taxonomy places the organism in Eukaryota, Metazoa, Porifera, Demospongiae, Haplosclerida, Niphatidae. The record is from RefSeq and is a predicted model, not a curated record. The transcript has 2 exons.